Molecule: ribosomal RNA, 384 nt
Filed under: Triticum aestivum (bread wheat)
Lineage: Eukaryota; Viridiplantae; Streptophyta; Magnoliopsida; Poales; Poaceae
Description: partial small subunit ribosomal RNA
Source: RNAcentral
AUGCUUGAUAGCCCGCAUGCCGAGGAGUUGCAAAUUAGAAGACUUAAUUAUGGGGUGGUUACUCUGAUUCCUAAAAUGAAAGAUGCUGCAACUAUCAAGCAAUAUCGGCCAAUAUGUUUAUAUUAUGUUUGUUAGAAAAUUGUGACUAAAGUACUGACAAAUAGGCUUGAGAGAGUUGCAGAUAAGGUGGUGAGUAAGAGUCAGACGACAUUUAUGAAAAACGGAAAUAUUUUAGAUGGGGUGGUCACUAUCCAUGAGGUGUUUCAUGAGCUUAGGAGGACUAAACAAGAGGGGGUCAUACUAAAGCUAGACUUUGAAAAAGCAUAUUACAGGGUGAAUUGGGAUUUUCUACAAGAGGUUUUGCUUAAAAAGGGUUUUCUUUAG